This 398-nucleotide ribosomal RNA is filed under the name uncultured Tsukamurella sp. RNAcentral's name for it is "bacterial SSU rRNA". It matches the Rfam family "Bacterial small subunit ribosomal RNA", at positions 958 to 1357 of the family's 1533-position model. Lineage: Bacteria; Bacillati; Actinomycetota; Actinomycetes; Mycobacteriales; Tsukamurellaceae. The record is from RNAcentral.
AACGCGAAGAACCUUACCUGGGCUUGACAUAUAGAGGAUCGCUACAGAGAUGUGGUUUCCCUUGUGGCUUCUAUACAGGUGGUGCAUGGUUGUCGUCAGCUCGUGUCGUGAGAUGUUGGGUUAAGUCCCGCAACGAGCGCAACCCUUGUCUUAUGUUGCCAGCACGUUAUGGUGGGGACUCGUGAGAGACUGCCGGGGUCAACUCGGAGGAAGGUGGGGAUGACGUCAAAUCAUCAUGCCCCUUAUGUCCAGGGCUUCACACAUGCUACAAUGGCCGGUACAGAGGGCUGCGAUGCCGUGAGGCGGAGCGAAUCUCUUAAAGCCGGUCUCAGUUCGGAUUGGGGUCUGCAACUCGACCCCAUGAAGUCGGAGUCGCUAGUAAUCGCAGAUCAGCACGC